CUGGGAUAAGCGCUGGAAACGGCGUCUAAUACUGGAUAUGAGAUGCGAUCGCAUGGUCGUGUUUGGAAAGAUUUUUCGGUCUGGGAUGGGCUCGCGGCCUAUCAGCUUGUUGGUGAGGUAAUGGCUCACCAAGGCGUCGACGGGUAGCCGGCCUGAGAGGGUGACCGGCCACACUGGGACUGAGACACGGCCCAGACUCCUACGGGAGGCAGCAGUGGGGAAUAUUGCACAAUGGGCGAAAGCCUGAUGCAGCAACGCCGCGUGAGGGAUGACGGCCUUCGGGUUGUAAACCUCUUUUGGUAGGGAAGAAGCCUUCGGGUGACGGUACCUGCAGAAAAAGCGCCGGCUAACUACGUGCCAGCAGCCGCGGUAAUACGUAGGGCGCAAGCGUUAUCCGGAAUUAUUGGGCGUAAAGAGCUCGUAGGCGGUCUGUCGCGUCUGCUGUGAAAUCCCGAGGCUCAACCUCGGGCUUGCAGUGGGUACGGGCAGACUAGAGUGCGGUAGGGGAGAUUGGAAUUCCUGGUGUAGCGGUGGAAUGCGCAGAUAUCAGGAGGAACACCGAUGGCGAAGGCAGAUCUCUGGGCCGUUACUGACGCUGAGGAGCGAAAGGGUGGGGAGCAAACAGGCUUAGAUACCCUGGUAGUCCACCCCGUAAACGUUGGGAACUAGUUGUGGGGUCCUUUCCACGGAUUCCGUGACGUAGCUAACGCAUUAAGUUCCCCGCCUGGGGAGUACGGCCGCAAGGCUAAAACUCAAAGGAAUUGACGGGGACCCGCACAAGCGGCGGAGCAUGCGGAUUAAUUCGAUGCAACGCGAAGAACCUUACCAAGGCUUGACAUACACCAGAACGGGCCAGAAAUGGUCAACUCUUUGGACACUGGUGAACAGGUGGUGCAUGGUGUCGUCAGCUCGUGUCGUGAGAUGUUGGGUUAAGUCCCGCAACGAGCGCAACCUCGUUCUAUGUUGCCAGCACGUAAUGGUGGGAACUCAUGGGAUACUGCCGGGGUCAACUCG
Molecule: ribosomal RNA, 1014 nt
Filed under: Microbacterium sp.
Lineage: Bacteria; Bacillati; Actinomycetota; Actinomycetes; Micrococcales; Microbacteriaceae
Description: bacterial SSU rRNA
Rfam family: Bacterial small subunit ribosomal RNA
Source: RNAcentral